CAGGACGAACGCUGGCGGCGUGCCUAAUACAUGCAAGUCGAACGGUCUUUCUAUGGAAGCUUGCUUCCACUGAAAGGAUAGUGGCGAACGGGUGAGUAACACGUGGGUAACCUGCCCAUAAGAGGGGGAUAACAUCCGGAAACGGGUGCUAAUACCGCAUAGUUUUCUUGAUCGCAUGAUCGGGAAAGGAAAGACGGCCUUUGUGCUGUCGCUUAUGGAUGGACCCGCGGCGUAUUAGUUAGUUGGUGAGGUAACGGCUCACCAAGACGAUGAUACGUAGCCGACCUGAGAGGGUGAUCGGCCACAUUGGGACUGAGACACGGCCCAAACUCCUACGGGAGGCAGCAGUAGGGAAUCUUCCGCAAUGGACGAAAGUCUGACGGAGCAACGCCGCGUGAGUGAAGAAAAGGUUUUCGGAUCGUAAAACUCUGUUGUCAGAGAAGAACAAGUUGGAGAGUAACUGCUCCAGCCUUGACGGUAUCUGACCAGAAAGCCACGGCUAACUACGUGCCAGCAGCGGC
RNAcentral lists this ribosomal RNA (521 nucleotides) under uncultured bacterium. Its description in RNAcentral is "bacterial SSU rRNA". It matches the Rfam family "Bacterial small subunit ribosomal RNA", at positions 25 to 518 of the family's 1533-position model. The record is from RNAcentral.